RNAcentral lists this ribosomal RNA (274 nucleotides) under uncultured bacterium. RNAcentral's name for it is "partial 16S ribosomal RNA". It matches the Rfam family "Bacterial small subunit ribosomal RNA", at positions 523 to 796 of the family's 1533-position model. The record is from RNAcentral.
AUACGGAGGGUGCAAGCGUUAAUCGGAAUUACUGGGCGUAAAGCGUACGUAGGCGGUUAUUUAAGUCAGAUGUGAAAGCCCCGGGCUUAACUUGGGAACUGCAUUUGAAACUGGGUAACUAGAGUUUAGUAGAGGGGAGUGGAAUUUCAGGUGUAGCGGUGAAAUGCGUAGAGAUCUGAAGGAACACCAGUGGCGAAGGCGACUCCCUGGACUAAAACUGACGCUGAGGUACGAAAGCGUGGGUAGCAAACAGGAUUAGAUACCCCAGUAGUCC